CUACGGGUGGCAGCAGUGGGGAAUAUUGGACAAUGGGCGAAAGCCUGAUCCAGCCAUGCCGCGUGUGUGAAGAAGGCCUUCGGGUUGUAAAGCACUUUCAGUGGGGAAGAAAGCCUUGGGGCUAAUACCCUCGAGGAAGGACAUCACCCACAGAAGAAGCACCGGCUAACUCCGUGCCAGCAGCCGCGGUAAUACGGAGGGUGCGAGCGUUAAUUGGAAUUACUGGGCGUAAAGCGCGCGUAGGCGGUCUGAUAAGCCGGUUGUGAAAGCCCCGGGCUCAACCUGGGAACGGCAUCCGGAACUGUCAGGCUAGAGUGCAGGAGAGGAAGGUAGAAUUCCCGGUGUAGCGGUGAAAUGCGUAGAGAUCGGGAGGAAUACCAGUGGCGAAGGCGGUCUUCUGGACUGACACUGACGCUGAGGUGCGAAAGCGUGGGUAGCAAACAGGAUUAGAUACCCUUGUAGUC
Molecule: ribosomal RNA, 464 nt
Filed under: Vreelandella stevensii
Lineage: Bacteria; Pseudomonadati; Pseudomonadota; Gammaproteobacteria; Oceanospirillales; Halomonadaceae
Description: partial 16S ribosomal RNA
Rfam family: Bacterial small subunit ribosomal RNA
Source: RNAcentral